CCUACGGGUGGCAGCAGUGAGGAAUAUUGGUCAAUGGACGAGAGUCUGAACCAGCCAAGUAGCGUGAAGGCUGACUGCCCUAUGGGUUAUAAACUUCUUUUAUAAAGGAAUAAAACGAGGCACGUGUGCCUUUUUGCAUGUACUUUAUGAAUAAGGAUCGGCUAACUCCGUGCCAGCAGCCGCGGUAAUACGGAGGAUCCGAGCGUUAUCCGGCUUGAUUGGGUUUAAAGGGAGCGUAGAUGGGUUGUUAAGUCAGUUGUGAAAGUUUGCGGCUCAACCGUAAAAUUGCAAUUGAUACUGGCAGUCUUGAGUACAGUUGAGGUAGGGGGAAUUCGUGGUGUAGCGGUGAAAUGCUUAGAUAUCACGAAGAACCCCGAUUGCGAAGGCAGCUUACUAAACUGUGACUGACAUUGAUGCUCGAAAGUGUGGGUAUCAAACAGGAUUAGAUACCCCAGUAGUC
This 460-nucleotide ribosomal RNA is filed under the name uncultured bacterium. RNAcentral describes it as "partial 16S ribosomal RNA". It matches the Rfam family "Bacterial small subunit ribosomal RNA", at positions 338 to 795 of the family's 1533-position model. The record is from RNAcentral.